Molecule: ribosomal RNA, 253 nt
Filed under: uncultured bacterium
Lineage: Bacteria
Description: partial 16S ribosomal RNA
Rfam family: Bacterial small subunit ribosomal RNA
Source: RNAcentral
UACGGAGGGUGCAAGCGUUGUCCGGAUUUAUUGGGUUUAAAGGGUGCGUAGGCGGCCCUGUAAGUCAGUGGUGAAACCCUUGGGCUUAACCCAAGGAGUGCCAUUGAUACUGCAGGGCUUGGGUCAUCUUUGGGCGGGCGGAAUGGAUGGUGUAGCGGUGAAAUGCAUAGAUAUCGGGAGGAACAUCAGUGGCGAAGGCGGCUACCUGGCCCAAUACUGACACUCAGGUGCGACAGCGUGGGGAGCAAACAGG